GAGGGUAUAGCUUAGUGGUAGAGGAGGUGCUUAGCAUGCACGAGGUUUGGGGUUCAACCCCCAGUACCUCCA
Molecule: transfer RNA, 72 nt
Filed under: Camelus bactrianus (Bactrian camel)
Lineage: Eukaryota; Metazoa; Chordata; Mammalia; Artiodactyla; Camelidae
Also listed under: 2 other names
Rfam family: tRNA
About the family: Transfer RNA (tRNA) molecules are approximately 80 nucleotides in length. Their secondary structure includes four short double-helical elements and three loops (D, anti-codon, and T loops). Further hydrogen bonds mediate the characteristic L-shaped molecular structure. tRNAs have two regions of fundamental functional importance: the anti-codon, which is responsible for specific mRNA codon recognition, and the 3' end, to which the tRNAs corresponding amino acid is attached (by aminoacyl-tRNA synthetases). tRNAs cope with the degeneracy of the genetic code in two manners: having more than one tRNA (with a specific anti-codon) for a particular amino acid; and 'wobble' base-pairing, i.e. permitting non-standard base-pairing at the 3rd anti-codon position.
Source: Rfam by way of RNAcentral